ACACCAGCGUGGAAUUACCUCCAAGAUUUACUGUUGAAUAAAGAAAGCAAGCUGCAGAAAAAUGUGCAUAAUGCAGUCUCAUCACAGACAAAAGAAUGUCUGUGAGUUUGUGUGCAUGUAUAUUAUACACUAUUUUAUUUAUAUAUAUAUAUUUUAUAUAUAUAUAGCUGAAAUCUAGAAGAAUGCACAUUCAGCUGCUAAUGGUGUAAUCACUGUUAUGCAUAGGGAUUAGGAUGAGAGUGAGGGUACUAAUGUUAACUGGGAACUUUAUGUUAGACAUUCUCAUUGUUGAAUGAUUUGAUGUUUCACAACAAGCACAGGAUACAUUUGUAAUAGCAGUAACAACUCCUGUUGCAGCCACAUUCAUCUUUGUCCAGAAGAGGAAACUGACGUCCAGAGAAAGGGCCUUGCCCAAGUCCAGCCAGGAGGUUAGCAGGGCGGCGGGAAGCAGACGAGAGAGCAAGACUGGGAGGGACCAGAGGGUUGCCACUUGAGCCUGAAUUUCCAAUCUGCCCAGAUAAAGAAGAGAGGAUUUGGGAGGGAAUUCUGCUGGAGUGAUGGCUUGGAAAAAGUGGUCUGAAGAUCACCAGGGAGCUUGCUGGACAUGCAGAAUCUUGGACCUACUCCACACUCACUGAAUCAGAGCCUGGAUUUUCACAAGAUCUCACAGAAUCCAUCUGCACGGUCAAGUUUGAGAAAUGCAGGAUACAUCAUCAUCCAUGACCAACCUUCCAGUAAAAACUAUACUCUUGAUUAAUGUUACAGUUUACAAAGUUGGUUUACAUAGAUGAUUUCACUUAAAUUUACUAUUUUAUCUUCAUCCCAGCCACAGUGUAAAAUUAUUCUUAUUCUUUUUAAUGAUGAAAUUGAGGUCCAGGAAGGUGCCAGACUUGCCUAAAAUCCUGUGUCUGGAGCCAGGUAAAUCCCAGUUUCAGCCUCAGUGGAUAGUAGAAUACUUUUUGAUUAUUAAUAGUGUGCUGAAUGUAGCAUUAGUAUGCAUGGUGAUUUUAGGUAUCGAUAUAAAGUAUGCUUUAUUCUCAUAGUAUUAGAGAAAAAUAUAAUGAACAAACUAACCAGGUGUGGCAUUUCAUAGUUAUUAUUGCUUAAGAAGAUUUGUGUUGUGAGGGUGGUCCUUCCAUGUCUGAGGUUCAGGGAACAUGUCUCUACUUUAUAUUAUAGAUGUCAUUCCUCUCUUUUAUUUACAGCAA
Physeter macrocephalus (sperm whale) is the source of this 1208-nucleotide long non-coding RNA. RefSeq lists it as uncharacterized. Lineage: Eukaryota; Metazoa; Chordata; Mammalia; Artiodactyla; Physeteridae. The transcript is spliced from 3 exons. The record is from RefSeq and is a predicted model, not a curated record.